CCCCUAGAUGUUCUGGGCCGCACGCGCGCUACACUGAACAGUUCAACAAGUCUUAACCUUGGCCGAUAGGUCUGGGUAAUCUUUGAACGCUGUUCGUGAUUGGGAUAGACCUUUGCAAUUAUGGGUCUUCAACGAGGAAUUCCUAGUUAACGCAAGUCAUCAGCUUGCAUUGAUUACGUCCCUGCCCUUUGUACACACCGCCCGUCGCACCUACCGAUUGAAUGGUCCGGUGAAAUCUCGGGACGGCGGCUUGGUCGCUUGCGUCCGACUGCUGAAACUUGAUUAAACCAUAUCAUUUAGAGGAAGGUGAAGUCGUANCA
Molecule: ribosomal RNA, 320 nt
Filed under: uncultured eukaryote
Lineage: Eukaryota
Description: partial 18S ribosomal RNA
Rfam family: Eukaryotic small subunit ribosomal RNA
Source: RNAcentral